GAGACCUUGGACAUAACGGUCCAACUGGAGACUCUGGGAAGCCAGGUGAUCUAGGACCCCCUGGACUGCCUUUUCUCGGGGGUUGAACGGCAUGAGAGGAGUGCCUGGCAGGACGGGUAUUGAGGGUCCACCGGGACAAGAUACAUCUGACCAGCAUAUUAUUGAUGUGGUGCUAAGAAUGUUGCAAGAGAGGCUGGCAGCGGUAGCAGUGAGCGCUAAAAGGGCUGUGCUUGGUGGAGCUGGUGUCAUGGGAACCCCUCGGCCCUCCUGGACCUCUGUGAUCAACGGGUCCACAAGGACCACAUGAUUUGCAUGGUUCUCGAAGAAUUCCUGGGAUGAUAGGAGCUGAUGGACAGAUCGGAAACAAAGGUCUUAAAGGUAGUCGGACACAAUGGGCCUGCCCGGGAUAUCUCGUGGUGUCGGCUCCGCUUGUGUUGCCCUUUGUGGAUCUUGGGGAGCAUAUAGAUUCUGCGGGGGCCGGGGGCCGAUUCGCUCAAGAGAUAAGUCUUUUGUUUUGCAUUAAUGAAUCAUUUUUGUAAUACAUUCUUAAUUAUGUUUUCUAUCAUAGGAAUAGUUUCGGGGUAAAUGACUGCGGAGGGCCUCAGUUUUGUACCGCGUCAGGUUGGGCGAGACCGCGAGGGCGCAGCCCGACCGGAGCGAUGGGUGCUCAUCCGCCAGGACCAGCGUCUGGAACUCUGGAGGUAGCAGUCCUGGUCGUAUUUCACCUGAUGGUGCCACUCGGGACUGAGGCUGGUGGACGGGACGAAACUGAGGCCUUUGUCGAGGAGGGAGAGCUGCGAGGAGGACAAGAACUCCCAAGAUGAAGAUUGAAGAAAAAACACAUUUUAAUGGUAAUACUAGCAAUAAUAGUAGUAAUAAUAUGCUAAUGGGGAAAGUAAAAGCGUGGCUCGGGUGGUGGAGCAACUCGAGGGUUCCAGGUUCGAUCCCCGCUUCUGCCAUCUGAGUCACUGCCGAUGUGUCCUUGGGCAAGGCACCUGCUUUCCCUUCACUUAUUAACAGUAAUCAUAGUAAUAAGUACUUAAAGGUAGAAAAUGACUACUGUGUACAAUAAAAACAAUGUAAUACUUAUAUAUGCAUGUUGAGAAUACAUGAAUGAAUGCUUAAUUUCAAAGAAUAAAUAACAAUAAAUGUAAUAAAUAACAGAAUGUGUGAUCAUUAAAUAUCUGAAUGUAAAUAAAUGUUGAUAUUAUGUAAUAAAAAGAGAAUGUUAUAACUAAAUGUAUGUUUGAUUUACAUUUUGUACUUGAAUGUUACGUAACAAAUACGUGAAUAUACUGCAAUUUAAUAAAGAGUGUUAAUUUUAGCAAGGUACUUGUGUUGAUGUACUCCUACUUCCAAGCGACUUUGUCAAGUACUAGUAAAGGAAGAAAUGAUCAAGUACUUUUUGUGUGUUUUGGA
Molecule: non-coding RNA, 1419 nt
Organism: Nerophis lumbriciformis (worm pipefish)
Lineage: Eukaryota; Metazoa; Chordata; Actinopteri; Syngnathiformes; Syngnathidae
Source: RefSeq, a predicted model, not a curated record